This 24-nucleotide non-coding RNA is filed under the name Rattus norvegicus (Norway rat). The record is from RNAcentral. Lineage: Eukaryota; Metazoa; Chordata; Mammalia; Rodentia; Muridae.
UUUACCCUUCUCCUAUUCCACUAA